RNAcentral lists this ribosomal RNA (216 nucleotides) under Glomeromycotina sp. RNAcentral describes it as "partial small subunit ribosomal RNA". The stretch from base 40 to 216 matches the Rfam family "Eukaryotic small subunit ribosomal RNA", at positions 686 to 864 of the family's 1831-position model. Lineage: Eukaryota; Fungi; Glomeromycota. The record is from RNAcentral.
GGGUCAGUAGGUUGGUCGUGCCACCGGUACGUACUGGUCUCACUGAUUCCUCCUUCCUGAAGAACCGUAAUGCCAUUAAUUUGGUGUUGCGGGGAAACAGGACUGUUACUUUGAAAAAAUUAGAGUGUUUAAAGCAAGCUAACGCUUGAAUACAUUAGCAUGGAAUAACGAAAUAGGACGAUCGAUCCUAUAUUGUUGGUUUCUAGGAUUGACGGA